GACGCCUGGGGUGUGAUUUAGCUAACAACAACUAUGAUGACAGCUCUAUGCUAUGGGGAUUAUUCAAGGGAAACAGAAACUACAUCUCCCAUCAGCCUCCGGCGUAGUGGCUGAUUUCCCUAUUCGCUGCCCGCCCACAGCCAGGAGCCGGGUUUUGGGGACUUGCCUGAACAUGCAGCUUUCGAUUUCAUUGCGGAGCGCUUCGAAAGUCAGACACACACCCAGUUGAAAGCAUCGCUGCCUCUGGUUGAGGUUCCUCCCGGCGCUUGUGUAACAGGAAUCAAGUUUGGGACACCUGAUUCCUCGGCACAGCCUUCAGUUGAGUUACACUAGAACCAGAUGGACAGGAAGAAGCAAAGCCAUGGCAGUAGUAUAACAUCAAA
Molecule: long non-coding RNA, 383 nt
Organism: Elgaria multicarinata webbii
Lineage: Eukaryota; Metazoa; Chordata; Lepidosauria; Squamata; Anguidae
Exons: 3
Source: RefSeq, a predicted model, not a curated record